UACGGAGGGUGCAAGCGUUAUCCGGAUUCACUGGGUUUAAAGGGUGUGUAGGCGGGCUAUUAAGUCAGUGGUGAAAUCUCCGGGCUCAACCCGGAAACUGCCAUUGAUACUAUUAGUCUUGAAUUCUGUUGAGGUAGGCGGAAUAUAUCAUGUAGCGGUGAAAUGCAUAGAUAUGAUAUAGAACACCGAUUGCGAAGGCAGCUUACUAAGCAGAUAUUGACGCUGAGGCACGAAAGCGUGGGGAGCAAACAGG
This 253-nucleotide ribosomal RNA is filed under the name uncultured bacterium. RNAcentral's name for it is "partial 16S ribosomal RNA". It matches the Rfam family "Bacterial small subunit ribosomal RNA", at positions 524 to 776 of the family's 1533-position model. The record is from RNAcentral.